ACCGGAGAAUGUUAUCACGGGAGACACACGGCGGGUGCUAACGUCCGUCGUGAAGAGGGAAACAACCCAGACCGCCAGCUAAGGUCCCAAAGUCAUGGUUAAGUGGGAAACGAUGUGGGAAGGCCCAGACAGCCAGGAUGUUGGCUUAGAAGCAGCCAUCAUUUAAAGAAAGCGUAAUAGCUCACUGGUCGAGUCGGCCUGCGCGGAAGAUGUAACGGGGCUAAACCAUGCACCGAAGCUGCGGCAGCGACGCUGAUGCGUUGUUGGGUAGGGGAGCGUUCUGUAAGCCUGUGAAGGUGGCCUGUGAGGGUUGCUGGAGGUAUCAGAAGUGCGAAUGCUGACAUAAGUAACGAUAAAGCGGGUGAAAAGCCCGCUCGCCGGAAGACCAAGGGUUCCUGUCCAACGUUAAUCGGGGCAGGGUGAGUCGACCCCUAAGGCGAGGCCGAAAGGCGUAGUCGAUGGGAAACAGGUUAAUAUUCCUGUACUUGGUGUUACUGCGAAGGGGGGACGGAGAAGGCUAUGUUGGCCGGGCGACGGUUGUCCCGGUUUAAGCGUGUAGGCUGGUUUUCCAGGCAAAUCCGGAAAAUCAAGGCUGAGGCGUGAUGACGAGGCACUACGGUGCUGAAGCGACAAAUGCCCUGCUUCCAGGAAAAGCCUCUAAGCAUCAGGUAACAUCAAAUCGUACCCCAAACCGACACAGGUGGUCAGGUAGAGAAUACCAAGGCGCUUGAGAGAACUCGGGUGAAGGAACUAGGCAAAAUGGUGCCGUAACUUCGGGAGAAGGCACGCUGAUAUGUAGGUGAAGCGACUUGCUCGUGGAGCUGAAAUCAGUCGAAGAUACCAGCUGGCUGCAACUGUUUAUUAAAAACACAGCACUGUGCAAACACGAAAGUGGACGUAUACGGUGUGACGCCUGCCCGGUGCCGGAAGGUUAAUUGAUGGGGUUAGCGGUAACGCGAAGCUCUUGAUCGAAGCCCCGGUAAACGGCGGCCGUAACUAUAACGGUCCUAAGGUAGCGAAAUUCCUUGUCGGGUAAGUUCCGACCUGCACGAAUGGCGUAAUGAUGGCCAGGCUGUCUCCACCCGAGACUCAGUGAAAUUGAACUCGCUGUGAAGAUGCAGUGUACCCGCGGCAAGACGGAAAGACCCCGUGAACCUUUACUAUAGCUUGACACUGAACAUUGAGCCUUGAUGUGUAGGAUAGGUGGGAGGCUUUGAAGUGUGGACGCCAGUCUGCAUGGAGCCGACCUUGAAAUACCACCCUUUAAUGUUUGAUGUUCUAACGUGGGCCCCUUACCGGGGUUGCGGACAGUGUCUGGUGGGUAGUUUGACUGGGGCGGUCUCCUCCUAAAGAGUAACGGAGGAGCACGAAGGUUGGCUAAUCCUGGUCGGACAUCAGGAGGUUAGUGCAAUGGCAUAAGCCAGCUUGACUGCGAGCGUGACGGCGCGAGCAGGUGCGAAAGCAGGUCAUAGUGAUCCGGUGGUUCUGAAUGGAAGGGCCAUCGCUCAACGGAUAAAAGGUACUCCGGGGAUAACAGGCUGAUACCGCCCAAGAGUUCAUAUCGACGGCGGUGUUUGGCACCUCGAUGUCGGCUCAUCACAUCCUGGGGCUGAAGUAGGUCCCAAGGGUAUGGCUGUUCGCCAUUUAAAGUGGUACGCGAGCUGGGUUUAGAACGUCGUGAGACAGUUCGGUCCCUAUCUGCCGUGGGCGCUGGAGAACUGAGGGGGGCUGCUCCUAGUACGAGAGGACCGGAGUGGACGCAUCACUGGUGUUCGGGUUGUCAUGCCAAUGGCACUGCCCGGUAGCUAAAUGCGGAAGAGAUAAGUGCUGAAAGCAUCUAAGCACGAAACUUGCCCCGAGAUGAGUUCUCCCUGAGACUUAGAGUCUCCUGAAGGAACGUUGAAGACGACGACGUUGAUAGGCCGGGUGUGUAAGCGCAGCGAUGCGUUGAGCUAACCGGUACUAAUGAACCGUGAGGCUUAACCUU
This 1987-nucleotide ribosomal RNA is filed under the name Escherichia coli. Its description in RNAcentral is "partial 23S ribosomal RNA". It matches the Rfam family "Bacterial large subunit ribosomal RNA", at positions 961 to 2925 of the family's 2925-position model. Lineage: Bacteria; Pseudomonadati; Pseudomonadota; Gammaproteobacteria; Enterobacterales; Enterobacteriaceae. The record is from RNAcentral.